UGUGGGUGUUGGGGAUGCGGGAGAAGUAGGUGUUUUUUAAAGAGAAAAUUGCAAAACCUCUUGGGCAGGAUUCGACCUACUAGCCUCUUCUGCUGCAUAAUAAGGGAGGCAGCUUGUGUUGGCAGGAGCUUACAACACCAAAGAAGUACACCACUAGAGAGACCCAACCCUUCACAUUACUCUGCAUAUUACAGAGAAAGGAGGGCAGAGACCAUGCAGUCUACUGGGUAACAAUGGGUGCUUCCUGCUAUAGAUAUAACUUUAUUUAAAAAUAAGAGUUUCUGGAGAUGUUCUUCCAUUGAAUCAACUGGAACAUGCUGAGCUAGAUUCUCACCAGAAAAGGAGGAGGAAAUGAGGAUUUAGAGCAUUCAGGAUGUGCUUUUCUUCACCCCACACCAACUUAGAAGGUUUUCAAAAUAAAGUAAAUGUGGUUCCACAAUGUAAUUGUUUUUUUCUCUCGCUAGAUUUUAGUUUUCCCAAGUCAUCCAAUUUUUCUGUAUGGUGAAGCCAGAGCCCAAAAAUUCUUGGAUAUCCUUAUAAGGUAAAUAGUAGGGUGCAGGUCUUCUUGUGAAUUCUGAAU
Molecule: long non-coding RNA, 580 nt
Organism: Homo sapiens (human)
Lineage: Eukaryota; Metazoa; Chordata; Mammalia; Primates; Hominidae
Source: Ensembl